This is a long non-coding RNA of Octodon degus (degu), 830 nucleotides long. RefSeq lists it as uncharacterized. Lineage: Eukaryota; Metazoa; Chordata; Mammalia; Rodentia; Octodontidae. The record is from RefSeq and is a predicted model, not a curated record. The transcript is spliced from 4 exons.
GAGCUGCGGCUGUCAGCGUCCAGGAGCCAGCCUGGAGCAUCUCUGACUCAGUGGUCAUUCAGGGGUCACACAGGGGCGGACACAGAGAAGACCCUGAGAAGGACGAGUCUGCCUCACAAAAGGCAGAUGGAGGCCCCAUCUUCACUUUGCUUUUACAGUAAACUGUAAAAGUCUUCUGAAUACCAACAGCACUAAAUACCAGCACUGAUUCUUCUAUGUUAUUGGUCUAACAUGAAUGCUAGGACGCUCGUGACCCCCAGAAAGGCUGUGGGAGAACCAUGUCAAUCACAUUACAGGGUCUACUCUGCAGCCUCCUCCAGCGACUGCAGACAAUGGGUCAUUAAGUUCCAGAAAGGACGAGGAUGGCCAGGGUCAGGUGCCAGGACCACAGGCGCUCUGGGCUCUGCCACGUGUCCGAAGCACCCUGGCGAGGCUCCUGAUGACUCAAGCUCCACAGCUGGAAGUGAGCAGGACCACCCGUGCUGCCCCAGUGGAGCCAAAUCAGUGCACGCUUUCCACUCUCAGCAGCCUCUCCAGUCCCCACCUCAUCGUCAGCCCAAGGCUCCGGCCAGCUGCCAUCCCAUGCCAGCGAUAGAUGGCCCAAUGGUGGAAGACUCAGGAACGCCCACUGCUGGCCACCUUGAGUUCUGCCACUGGGGACCAGAGGAUCAGGCUCAGGACCAAGGACUUUCUUCACUCCUCUUGGCCCAGUCACAAGUACGGCACUUGUCCUGCCCAAGACUGUGACUUUGAUAAGAACCUAUUGGACACCGGAUGUGAUUUUUAAGCCCUACCCUAACCAGAUCUGCCGCUCAUUCUCAAAGUCAAAA